GGUAGUGUAGUUAACACCUGCAUUAUUUGACGUUACCUACAGAAGAAGCACCGGCUAACUCCGUGCCAGCAGCCGCGGUAAUACGGGAGGGUGCGAGCGUUAAUCGGAAUUACUGGGCGUAAAGCGCAUGCAGGUGGUUUGUUAAGUCAGAUGUGAAAGACCCGGGGCGUCAACCUACGGAAUAGCAUUUAGUAAACUAGGCAGACUAGAGUACUGUAGAGGGGGUAGGAAUUUCAGGUGUAGCGGUGAAAUGCGUAGAGAUCUGAAGGAAUACCGGUGGCGAAGGCGGCCCCCUGGACAGAUACUGACACUCAGAUGCGAAAGCGUGGGGAGCAAACAGGAUUAGAUACCCUGGUAG
RNAcentral lists this ribosomal RNA (358 nucleotides) under uncultured bacterium. Its description in RNAcentral is "bacterial SSU rRNA". It matches the Rfam family "Bacterial small subunit ribosomal RNA", at positions 443 to 793 of the family's 1533-position model. The record is from RNAcentral.